GGCGCUAUAGCCAAGUGGUUAAGGCGACAGAUUAGAAUGUGAGGGGCCCGGUACCUUCCAGCGUUUCUGCUCACUGGACGGUGCUUAUCACAGGCUGGGCAAUGGCGCCCAUUUAUCUGUUACUCUCUGAGUGCGCAGGUUCAAAUCCUGCUGGUGUCG
This 159-nucleotide transfer RNA is filed under the name Armillaria solidipes. It matches the Rfam family "tRNA". From Rfam's summary of the family: Transfer RNA (tRNA) molecules are approximately 80 nucleotides in length. Lineage: Eukaryota; Fungi; Basidiomycota; Agaricomycetes; Agaricales; Physalacriaceae. The record is from Rfam by way of RNAcentral.